Molecule: ribosomal RNA, 1035 nt
Filed under: Cleidochasma cleidostoma
Lineage: Eukaryota; Metazoa; Bryozoa; Gymnolaemata; Cheilostomatida; Cleidochasmatidae
Description: bacterial SSU rRNA
Rfam family: Eukaryotic small subunit ribosomal RNA
Source: RNAcentral
GCGAAAGCAUUUGCCAAGAAUGUUUUCAUUAAUCAAGAACGAAAGUCAGAGGUGCGAAGGCGAUCAGAUACCGCCGUAGUUCUGACCGUAAACGAUGCCGACUGGCAAUUGGGCGCACUUCUGUCGAAGUUGCCGCCAGCAGUAUUGCCCGGGAAACCAAAGUCAUUGGGUUCCGGGGGGAGUAUGGUUGCAAAGCUGAAACUUAAAGGAAUUGACGGAAGGGCACCACCAGGAGUGGAGCCUGCGGCUUAAUUUGACUCAACACGGGAAACCUCACCCGGCCCGAACACUGUUAUGACAGACAGGUUGAGAGCUCUUUCUCGAUUCAGUGGUUGGUGGUGCAUGGCCGUUCUUAGUUCGUGGAGCGAUCUGUCUGGUUAAUUCCGAUAACGAACGAGACUCUUGCCUGCUAAAUAGACGGCGUCGACUCUGCGCGACGAUCGUUCGCUUCUUAGAGGGACAAGCGGCUUUUAGCCGCGUGAAGCCGAGAGCAAUAACAGGUCUGUGAUGCCCUCAGAUGUUCGGGGCCGCACGCGCGCUACACUGUUUGCAUCAGCGUGUUUCUCCCGCGCCGGCCGGCGCGGGCAACCCGUUGAACCGCAAACGUGCUAGGGAUCGGAGAUUGCAAUUGUUCUCCGUGAACGAGGAAUUGCAAUAACAGGUCUGUGAUGCCCUCAGAUGUUCGGGGCCGCACGCGCGCUACACUGUUUGCAUCAGCGUGUUUCUCCCGCGCCGGCCGGCGCGGGCAACCCGUUGAACCGCAAACGUGCUAGGGAUCGGAGAUUGCAAUUGUUCUCCGUGAACGAGGAAUUCCUUGUACUGGCGAGUCAUCAGCUCGCGGGGAAUCUGUCCCUGCCCUUUGUACACACCGCCCGUCGCUACUACCGAUUGAGUGGUUUAGUGAGGCUCACGGACUGCGAGCGGCACCCGGCGUCUUCGGGCGUCGAGUCGCGAGCGGAAAGUGAGACGAACUUGAUCACUUCUAGGAACUAAAAGUCGUAACAAGGUUUUCGUAGGUGAACCUGCGGAAGGCUC